UGGGGAAUCUUGGACAAUGGGGGCAACCCUGAUCCAGCCAUGCCGCGUGAGUGAUGAAGGCCUUAGGGUCGUAAAGCUCUUUCGCCUGUGAAGAUAAUGACGGUAGCAGGUAAAGAAACCCCGGCUAACUCCGUGCCAGCAGCCGCGGUAAUACGGAGGGGGCUAGCGUUGUUCGGAAUUACUGGGCGUAAAGCGCACGUAGGCGGACCAGAAAGUUGGGGGUGAAAUCCCGGGGGCUCAACCCCGGAACUGCCUCCAAAACUAUUGGUCUAGAGUUCGAGAGAGGUGAGUGGAAUUCCAAGUGUAGAGGUGAAAUUCGUAGAUAUCGGGAGGAACACCGGUGGCGAAGGCGGUCACCUGGGCCAGUACUGACGCUGAGGCGCGAAAGCGUGGGGAGCAAACAGGAUUAGAUACCCUGGUAGUCCACACCGUAAACGAUGAAUGCCAGUCGUCGGGUAGCAUGCUAUUCGGUGACACACCUAACGGAUUAAGCAUUCCGCCUGGGGAGUACGGUCGCAGAUUAAAA
RNAcentral lists this ribosomal RNA (526 nucleotides) under uncultured bacterium. Its description in RNAcentral is "bacterial SSU rRNA". It matches the Rfam family "Bacterial small subunit ribosomal RNA", at positions 355 to 899 of the family's 1533-position model. The record is from RNAcentral.